UGGUAACUUAUUAAACAAUUUUUAUGGUAUAAUUAUGAAUUUUUUUUUUUUUUUUUUUUUCUUAUUCUCUUAAAGAAAAAUUAAUAUGAAAUGUUUAAAUUUAAUUAUAUUUUGUUCUUUAUGGAAUAUACUAUUCAAAAUUUUAUGCGCUUAAAUAUAAUAUGUUAAGACUUAAUAAAUAUUAUAUAUCAAUAUAUGUUUUGUAUAAAAAUUACAUGUUCAGCUUAAAAAAUUAAAGUGAUAUUUUUGUAAUACUUAUAAUUCUUUUUUUUUAUCUUUUUGAUUUCUUCUUUAACCACACAGCCGAUUUUAUUUAAAGUUUUAAAGCCAAGAAUAAUUUACGCCUGAGUAAAAAGAAAUAACCCUGAAUAUAUUAAAAUGUCCUACUUUCAUAUAUAUGUAAAAUAUAUAUAAUAUAACGCUGAAUUAUUAAAAGAGAAAAUAAUAAAAUGAAAUGAAAAUAAAAUAAAAUAAAAUAAAAGAUGAAAAAAGGAAAUGAAGAGAAAAGGAAUGAAAAUAAAAUAAAAGAUGAAAAAUGAAAAUAAGAGAAAAGAAAAGAGGGAAUGUUUUAAAAUUACAUAUAAACAAUUAUUAAAAUAUAUAUAUAUAUAUAUAUAUAUAUAUAUAUAUGUUUAUAUAUAUGAAUGAGGCCCCUUUUAUUUCACUAAAUAUUUAUAUAUAUUUGUUUUCCAUAUUAAAUAUAUAAUAAAUAAAAUGAAUUCUUUUAUAAUCUUAAUGUUCUUACUAUACUUUUCAUACUUGAUAUAAGUUAAAACUGAGGUCUAUAUUAUUAUGAAUGGUUAUUCAUAUAUAUAUAUAUAUAUUACUUUAAAAUAGUUAUAUUUUAUUAACUUUAUUUGAAUAUAUAUAUAUAUAUAUAUAUAUAUAUAUAUAUAUGUAUUUACAAAUAUAGGUAGGAAAUAUUAGACACAUAAACUUAUGUAUAUAUGUACAGGUUUAUAUAUAAGAAAAUUAAAAUAUACUAGCAUUUGUAUAUAUAUGUCUAUAUGAGUAAACCUAUCAAAAUAUAAACAUAAAAAUAUAUAUUAAUAUUUAUCCUUAUAUAUAUGAACAUAAAUAUAUGCAAACAUUUAUAUAUAUAAGGAUAUGUAUAUAUACAAAAAUACAUAUAAUCAUAUAUAUAUAUAUAUAACCAUAAACAUUAAAAUAUAUUAUUUAUGUGUUUGGAUGUGUAUAUAUGAAAAUAUACAAAUAAAUAUAUAUAAACAAAUAUUAACAUAGACAUAAUAACAAAUAAAUAUAUAUAAAUAAAUAUUAAAAUAUACAUAAUAACAAAUAAAUAUGUUUAUACAAAUAUUAACAUAUACAUAUAAACAAAUAAAUAUAUUUAUAUAAGUACAUAUAUAUAUAUAAAUAUAUACGUACGUACACGCUUAUCAAAUAAAUAAGUCAUGUAUACAAGAUACUAUAAACAUUAAUAUAUAAAUUCAAAAAAUAUAUAUAUAUAUAUAAUAUAUACCAUAUAUAUGUAUAAAUUUAUAUACGUAAAAUGUUUUUUAUAUAUUUUUUCUUUAUUUUUAUGUUUUUUUUUUUUUAAUAACAAAUAAUUAGAUAUAAAAGAAAUUUUAGUUACAUUCAAUUAAAAGAAAAAAAAAUAAUAAUAUUAAUUGAUUUUAUUUAGUAUUAUAUAUAGUUUAUCCGUUAGAAUAAAUAUAUGAAUAACAUAUAAUUAAUGAAAGAUUUAAAAAAAAAAAAAUAUAUUUGUUAUAUCAAAUUAUAAUAAACUAAACAAAACAUGCGUGCAUAUGUAAUAUACAUAUAUUUUAUUAAAGAUGUAAUUUAAUAUCAAAAUUAAUAAUAUAGUUUAUUAUUUAAUUAAUUUUUUAAGAAUAUAGUAAUUAAAGAAUUGACGAUUUUAAGAAUUAUCUCAUCUAAGAAUAUUCGAGCGAUCGAAUUAUCGAAAUAAUGAACCAAAUCAAAAAAAAAAAAAAAAAAAAAAAAAAAAAUUAAAUAUAAAAUAUAUAAUAUAUAAUAUAUAUUAAAAGGGAUGCAUUUAAGAAAAAGAAAUUAUAUGUAUCAUAAUGGGGUAGUAACCAAAAUAAAAAUUUUCUUUGGUUACAUUAAUGUUAUUAUUUAUAAAUAAUUACUUUUUAUUUUUAUUACAUGCCCAUUUCGUGUCUUUUUUUUAGAAAUAUAUCUUUUGUAAUAAGUGUUAUUUAAUAUACUUUACUUAAUGUGUUUAUUUACAAUACUUUUGUUAGUUGCAUCUAAUUCUAGAAGACAUAAAAUUAAUAUAUUAUAAAUUUUAUAUAAUCAAUAUGGAUUAUUUAUUAUUUAAAUAUGUCUUUAAAUUGUGAAUAACCUAAUAUUAUAUGACUUAAAAAGAAUAUAUAAGGUGUUUAAAUUUUUUAUACAUAAUUUAAAAUAAUAUCACAUAUCCAUAUUUUGUCUAGUAAUAUCGAUCUAAAUAAGAACCCUUCUUAUGUUAUAUAAUAAUGUAAUUUCUUGUUAAAAAAGAAAAGGAAAUACAUGUACAUAUAUAUAAGUGAGAAAAAAAAAAUAUAUAUAUAUAAAUAAAUUAAAAAUCUGUAAUUUAUUAUGUUAGUUUAUUCUGUAAUUUUUUUAUAUGUAAUAUAUAUAUAUAUAUAUAUAUAUAUAUAUAUAUUCUUGCGUUAGCUGCAUAUAUAUUAGAAAUUAUUUUGUUUAGUAUAAUACUAAUUAAUCAAUAUAAAAUAUUUUAAUAAAAUAUUAUGCUAUAGUUGUAUUAUAUUUAUAUCAAUGUCAUAUUUCCCUAUGAUUAUACCGAUAAAAUGAAAAUCAUAACUUACAUGUUGUAAAAUAUACUAUCUUGCAACAUAUAACAUUUAAGAAUAAAAAACAAAAUUAACACAUUUAACCAUUUAUUUAUUUAUAGUUUUUAUAUUAUUAUAUAUUGUAAAUCAUCAAUAUUCUUAACGAAUUAAUAGACACAUCUAAGUUCAUUUAAGAAGAGAUAUAUUUUUUUUUUAUUUAUUUUAUAAUUAUUUAUUAUAAUUUUUUUUUUUUUUUUUUAACACAUCUAAUUGCAUUUUAUUUAUAAAUAUAACAACAUUUAAGAAUUUUGAUUUAUAUAAUAUAUAUUUUGCCUCCCAUAUUUUCUCUUAGUUUAUCUUAAUUUUUAUUUUCUUUGAUUUCUUAUUUAUUAUUUUUUCUUUAUAUAUAUUAUAUAUUAUUUCAUUUCCUAAUUAAUAUUACAUUUAUUUGAAAAUAUAAAUGGAA
Plasmodium blacklocki (nom. inval.) is the source of this 3219-nucleotide non-coding RNA. The record is from the annotation of a GenBank genome assembly. Lineage: Eukaryota; Apicomplexa; Aconoidasida; Haemosporida; Plasmodiidae.